UCUCCGUUGGUGAACAGCGGAGGGAUCAUUACAGGAUCGAAAGACUCCUAUAACCCCUGUGAACUUACUACAAAUACGUUGCUUUGGCGGGUGCCCCGGGUCUCCCGGGGCGUUCAGCCCGCCGGCAGCCUUCAAAUUCUGUUUCUUUGCGUUGGCAUCUCGAGUAUACAAAAAUAAGUUAAAACUUUCAACAACGGAUCUCUUGGUUCUG
This 211-nucleotide unclassified non-coding RNA is filed under the name plant metagenome. Its description in RNAcentral is "partial contains small subunit ribosomal RNA, internal transcribed spacer 1, and 5.8S ribosomal RNA". The record is from RNAcentral.